CACAUGCAANUCGAACGGUAACAGGUCUUCUGAUGCUGACGAGUGGCGAACGGGUGACUAAUACAUCGGAACGUGCCCGAGAGUGGGGGAUAACGAAGCGAAAGCUUUGCUAAUACCGCAUACGAUCUCAGGAUGAAAGCAGGGGACCGCAAGGCCUUGCGCUCACGGAGCGGCCGAUGGCAGAUUAGGUAGUUGGUGGGGUAAAGGCUCACCAAGCCGACGAUCUGUAGCUGGUCUGAGAGGACGACCAGCCACACUGGGACUGAGACACGGCCCAGACUCCUACGGGAGGCAGCAGUGGGGAAUUUUGGACAAUGGGCGCAAGCCUGAUCCAGCAAUGCCGCGUGCAGGAAGAAGGCCUUCGGGUUGUAAACUGCUUUUGUACGGAGCGAAAAGGUCUUCCCUAAUACGGGAGGCUGAUGACGGUACCGUAAGAAUAAGCACCGGCUAACUACGUGCCAGCAGCCGCGGUAAUACGUAGGGUGCGAGCGUUAAUCGGAAUUACUGGGCGUAAAGCGUGCGCAGGCGGUUUUGUAAGACAGGCGUGAAAUCCCCGGGCUCAACCUGGGAAUGGCGCUUGUGACUGCAAAGCUGGAGUGCGGCAGAGGGGGAUGGAAUUCCGCGUGUAGCAGUGAAAUGCGUAGAUAUGCGGAGGAACACCGAUGGCGAAGGCAAUCCCCUGGGCCUGCACUGACGCUCAUGCACGAAAGCGUGGGGAGCAAACAGGANUAGAUACCCUGGUAGUCCAAUC
This 751-nucleotide ribosomal RNA is filed under the name uncultured bacterium. Its description in RNAcentral is "bacterial SSU rRNA". It matches the Rfam family "Bacterial small subunit ribosomal RNA", at positions 52 to 800 of the family's 1533-position model. The record is from RNAcentral.